Molecule: transfer RNA, 73 nt
Filed under: Lachnospiraceae bacterium
Lineage: Bacteria; Bacillati; Bacillota; Clostridia; Lachnospirales; Lachnospiraceae
Description: tRNA-Asn
Rfam family: tRNA
About the family: Transfer RNA (tRNA) molecules are approximately 80 nucleotides in length. Their secondary structure includes four short double-helical elements and three loops (D, anti-codon, and T loops). Further hydrogen bonds mediate the characteristic L-shaped molecular structure. tRNAs have two regions of fundamental functional importance: the anti-codon, which is responsible for specific mRNA codon recognition, and the 3' end, to which the tRNAs corresponding amino acid is attached (by aminoacyl-tRNA synthetases). tRNAs cope with the degeneracy of the genetic code in two manners: having more than one tRNA (with a specific anti-codon) for a particular amino acid; and 'wobble' base-pairing, i.e. permitting non-standard base-pairing at the 3rd anti-codon position.
Source: RNAcentral
ACGGGUGUAGCUCAACUAGUAGAGCGGCUGUUAAUUAUACGGUUGGUUGCGGGUGCAAGUCCCGUCACUCGUA